CCAAAUGACCCUGAGUUGACACAGUAGAGGAUGUAGAAGGCUGAAGAAACUGUUCAUCUGGUGUAUCUACUUCCAUUGCAGUUUCACCCACUUCCAAAUCAGUACUUGAUGG
This 112-nucleotide small nucleolar RNA is filed under the name Ovis aries (sheep). Its description in RNAcentral is "Small nucleolar RNA Z278 (ENSOARG00000022320.1)". The record is from RNAcentral. Lineage: Eukaryota; Metazoa; Chordata; Mammalia; Artiodactyla; Bovidae.